GGGAAUAUUGGACAAUGGGCGCAAGCCUGAUCCAGCAAUGCCGCGUGUGUGAAGAAGGCCUUCGGGUUGUAAAGCACUUUUAUCAGGAGCGAAAUACUACCGAUUAAUACUCGGUGGGGCUGACGGUACCUGAGGAAUAAGCACCGGCUAACUUCGUGCCAGAAGCCGCGGUAAUACGAAGGGUGCAAGCGUUAAUCGGAAUUACUGGGCGUAAAGGGUGCGUAGGCGGUUAUUUAAGUCUGCCGUGAAAUCCCCGGGCUCAACCUGGGAAGGGCGGUGGAUACUGGAUAGCUAGAGUGUGUCAGAGGAUGGUGGAAUUCCCGGUGUAGCGGUGCAAUGCGUAGAGAUCAGGAGGAACAUCAGUGGCGAAGGCGGCCAUCUGGGACAACACUGACGCUGAAGCACGAAAGC
This 411-nucleotide ribosomal RNA is filed under the name uncultured bacterium. RNAcentral describes it as "bacterial SSU rRNA". It matches the Rfam family "Bacterial small subunit ribosomal RNA", at positions 357 to 760 of the family's 1533-position model. The record is from RNAcentral.